GCGCCCAUAGCUCAAUGGUAGAGCAUCCGUCUUAUACACGGCGUACGGGGGUCCGAUUCCCUCUGGGCGCA
Molecule: transfer RNA, 71 nt
Filed under: bacterium
Lineage: Bacteria
Also listed under: 1 other name
Description: tRNA-Ile
Rfam family: tRNA
About the family: Transfer RNA (tRNA) molecules are approximately 80 nucleotides in length.
Source: RNAcentral